This 148-nucleotide non-coding RNA is filed under the name Homo sapiens (human). Lineage: Eukaryota; Metazoa; Chordata; Mammalia; Primates; Hominidae. The record is from Rfam by way of RNAcentral.
GCCAGGCAUGGUGGUGCAUGCCUGUAGUCCCAGCUACUCAGGAGGCUGAGACAGGAGAAUCGCUUGAACCUGGGAGGUGGAGGUUGCAGUGAGCUGAGAUCGUGCCACUGCACUCCAGCUUGGGUGACAGAGUGAGACCCUGUCUCAA